This 811-nucleotide ribosomal RNA is filed under the name Trachylepis polytropis (tropical mabuya). Its description in RNAcentral is "partial 16S rRNA". It matches the Rfam family "Bacterial large subunit ribosomal RNA", at positions 1390 to 2594 of the family's 2925-position model. The record is from RNAcentral. Lineage: Eukaryota; Metazoa; Chordata; Lepidosauria; Squamata; Scincidae.
CACAGCACAAAACAACAAAUACCAUAAAUGCAGCCCACCUCCUAGUAAAACACUGAGCUAAACUAUAACUAUAGAUAAACUAAUGCUAAAACUAGUAACAAGAAAUAUUCUCUUGGCACACCUGUAACCCAGAAAUAGACAAACCUACUGGAUCUUAACAGACCACAACAGGAAAAACACUGACUGUUCCAUCUACUGUUAAACCAACACCGGGAUGCCACUAAGACAGAUUUAAAGUUAUUUAAGGAACUCAGCAAAACUUGUCCCAACUGUUUACCAAAAACAUAGCCUUUAGCACUCAAAGUAUUAAAGGUCCCGCCUGCCCAGUGAGACAUUUUUAACGGCCGCGGUAUUCUAACCGUGCAAAGGUAGCGUAAUCACUUGUCUCCUAAAUAGAGACCAGUAUGAACGGCUAAAUGAGGACAAACCUGUCUCUAAUAACUAAUCAGUGAAACUGAUCUCUCAGUACAAAAGCUGAGAUAAACACAUAAGACGAGAAGACCCCGUGGAGCUUCAAACAAAACACUAACCCAACACCUGGGACCUAGCAUACUGUUUUAAGUUGGGGCGACUUCGGAAUAAAACAGAACUUCCGAGCACAGAAGCACCACUUCUCUCUAAGGCCAACAAGCCUUAGUACUAAAACUGACCCGGCACUUCGCCGAUCAACGAACCAAGUUACCCCGGGGAUAACAGCGCUAUCUUCUUCAAGAGUCCCUAUCAACAAGAAGGUUUACGACCUCGAUGUUGGAUCAGGACACCCAAAUGGUGCAGCCGCUAUUAAUGGUUCGUUUGUUCAACGAUUAACAGU